GUUAUCAAGCCUGUGUGAUUUGUUUCUUCAGCUGUGAUUGUGAUAGCUUGUCUGCUACGUCGAAUAAUGCAGGUGCAGGUAUUUAAUUGCACACAUGUUGCCUAUGUUCCACAUUCACUAACUUCACUGGAAGUGUAUCGAAGAAAACUUAACGUUUUUGAGUAGAUAUGUGACACCUUUCUGCAAAAGGUCAGGUCUUCUUUUGUUUACUAGCAAUAUUUCUGUUCUUGAAGAACAUGAGGCUCCGCUCUAAAUAUCCAUAGGUUACAAGAAAAUUGUAAAUAAACUGUUCUGUAGUGUAGCAUUUCACACCUUCUAGAGUUGUUAGGAAACCUAAAUAAAGGUAAAUAUGGUGUUGUCUUCCGUUGUUGAUGCAAUUUAUUGCGCUACAGGCGGUCCCGUUUGUAAGAACCAUUCUACAGACUAAUAUAAACAAUUACGAUUCGCUUUCACUUUCACAAGAUCUCGCAGAAAUCAACAUUAUAACUUCCCGGUCGCUUGGCGUGCUAACAAUUGCAGUGGAUAACAAAAAAAGGUCUGAAUAUCGUGACUGUUGUGUUAGACUGUGAUACUACUCAAAUAAUCUAUUUUAUGAACAGGGCAAAUCAAUAUUACAACUUACGAUAACCUGUUUUAAGCUGCUGUGAUGUGACAUGACAUGAUGACCAGUGUGAAUCCCGCCAUAUGAAAUCCAUUGUGGAAUGUUUUGACAUCCAUGAUGUGAUGUGAGGCGAUGAACAGAGGAACUGACUUUCACCUUAACAAGUGGUACUGCAACCUGGUGGUGCCAUGACAGCCGGUCUCAACGUAUAUAGGUGUGCAUAGAACAAUUCACAGGAAGAGCUGAAUAAAUUCCAAGAAAUCCUUGGACUUUGUAAAACAUUUUGAAGUAGAUGACAUUAAAAACAAUUAAUAUUUUUUAAGAUUUUAAAGUAAAUGAACUGAAGUAUCAUACACUAGAACUAGACCGAAAUUACUUGAAUGUGCAAUUUCAAGGAUUUUCCCUUAUUUACCACAUUAUUUAACUUAACCAACUAAAUCUGAGGCUGGUAAACGUGCUAAUAGAGGACUACUGAAGCCAGAGCAAGAGAAUUUCAAGAGAAAUGGAUAUUGGUUGGCAGAAAAUGUGAUUCAAAACUUUAUUUAUAUGGGUAAACACUUAAUAAGGUUGUAGCAAGUGACAAGUUGGUACCAUACUGCAAGAAACAAUUCAUUCUGUUUCUACAGGUUAUCAGUGGACGUCAUAAGAAACCAAGAUAAUUGGUUUACUGUAUCAGGCAAAGAUUAUGAUACCAUUCUGUGUUUACCAAAAGUUGUAAUUCCGUUUCAUUUUCUGGCAGUGUUUAUCCUUUGGAUUUUACAGUAUGAAUUUCGUGAUCUUUAUUUAAAUACAUUGUACUUUGAAGUGUUUAUGAAGUUAUAUUGUUUUCCAAUUUUGUCUAUGAUGUUACUACACAAUUUCACUAAAUGUUAUAUGUACAGUACAAUAGAAAGUACAGUAGAAACUGUACAAUAGAAAGAAGGAAGUACAAUAGUACUUUACAGUACAAGUACAAUACAGUACAAGUACAAUAGCACAUUACUAUGGAAAGUACAAAGUACAAUAGAAAUUACAGUAGCAAAACUUUAUCCUACUAUAUUUCACUUAGCAGAGAGAUAGUUGGUUUAUAAAAAAUGUAAAUUGUUUAUAUCUGUUUUACAUCAUUCAUAACUAGUGCCACAUGGAGUUGAUUAUUUUCCAAAUUUAAUUUAAGUAAUGAUAAAAUUUUAUUGUCCAUCAAACUAGUAACUACUAUUAUAUCUCAGAAACACACUUAAGUUAUUCAGAAAUAAAAUCUGGAUGUAAAAAUUAAAAAUACAGAAAUGUUUGCACAUGCAAUAUUUUGAAACUGUUGAAUUUAUUUUCAUAACUCUGUAAAAUAAUUUUGAUAUAUAGAACAAAAUGCAUGUCAAAUAAGUUUGUCUGCCUUCAUUUAGCGUCCAAGCUGCAUUCUGUUGUCAGACUGUGAACUGUAAGAACUUGUAUUGCUCAUAUAAAUGUCUUUUAUUUGGAAAAAGUGUUGUGUAUAUUACUCUCUUGUAUGCAACAACAUGUCUGAAGUACUUUACUUCUGUUACUAGACGAAAGUAUGAAUUGACCUAAAAUAAUCUUCUUGAAAACUAUGAGCACUGCAUUCUUAGAACGAAAAGAUGAGUAUAACAUUCCUCAAAUUUUGAGUGUGCUUACUUUCUGCUUUACGAUAUGUAUGAUAUUAGUAAUUAGAAAAGCUAGAACAGUACGUAAGUGUUAUAAAAAGCUGUUUAAACAUUUAGUAUUGUUGGAAAGAAGGCACAUUACAACAGGAUUCGAAAAUUUUAAAUUACUGUAAAAAUGACAGUUUUGAAGUUAUUACUUUCUUAUGCAGUUCAGCUGAAAAUAAGUAAAAUAAACCCAUAUUCAAGUAA
This is a long non-coding RNA of Schistocerca gregaria, 2445 nucleotides long. RefSeq lists it as uncharacterized. Lineage: Eukaryota; Metazoa; Arthropoda; Insecta; Orthoptera; Acrididae. The record is from RefSeq and is a predicted model, not a curated record. The transcript has 3 exons.